CCUGCCCAAGAGAUCGGGAUAACACCUGGAAACNGAUGCUAAUACCGGAUAACAACAGAUGAUGCCUAUCAACUGUUUAAAAGAUGGUUCUGCUAUCACUCUUGGAUGGACCUGCGGUGCAUUAGCUAGUUGGUAGGGUAACGGCCUACCAAGGCGAUGAUGCAUAGCCGAGUUGAGAGACUGAUCGGCCACAUUGGGACUGAGACACGGCCCAAACUCCUACGGGAGGCAGCAGCC
This 237-nucleotide ribosomal RNA is filed under the name uncultured Lactobacillus sp. RNAcentral describes it as "partial 16S ribosomal RNA". It matches the Rfam family "Bacterial small subunit ribosomal RNA", at positions 125 to 355 of the family's 1533-position model. Lineage: Bacteria; Bacillati; Bacillota; Bacilli; Lactobacillales; Lactobacillaceae. The record is from RNAcentral.